GUAAAUGUAAUAUGUACUUGGUACUUCUAAAGAGACCUAUGAGAUUAGUUAUCAAAAUUGUGCACUGUUCAUUUGUAAUUAGAUGAGGAUUUUUAUUAUUUUAUUUUCUUUCAUUAAUUUUUGGCACAAAUAGUCUGAGUUGGGCAUCGUCUAUUAGAAGUAGACAAGUUCAACACUGUGGAGGUAAUCUCUGUACUGUUGUUGUCAAUAAACCCUUCAGUGUUAAUUAAUGAUGUGGACUUCUCUAAUUCAAAA
RNAcentral lists this unclassified non-coding RNA (255 nucleotides) under Hevea brasiliensis (rubber tree). Lineage: Eukaryota; Viridiplantae; Streptophyta; Magnoliopsida; Malpighiales; Euphorbiaceae. The record is from RNAcentral.